GUCAGUGCAGUGUAGUGGUUUGAGUGUUAGACUACAACUCUGGAGACCAGGGUUCAAUUCCCAGGUUGGCC
RNAcentral lists this transfer RNA (71 nucleotides) under Phrynosoma platyrhinos (Desert horned lizard). RNAcentral's name for it is "tRNA-OTHER". Lineage: Eukaryota; Metazoa; Chordata; Lepidosauria; Squamata; Phrynosomatidae. The record is from RNAcentral.